CACAAAUAUAAAAUAAAUAAUAAUAUUUAUAAAAUAAGAUUUGUUUUCAUACGUUCAAAUAAAAAUAUUGAAUGCAAUAAUUAUUUUUAUAGGUAGCUAGUAACAUAUGCAUUAAGGAGAGAGGGGUCAGGAUAAAUCUCACGGAAAAAAAUAGGCUUAAUAAAAUAUAAACACGUCACUGAGUGAUUAACCAUUUAAAUAUAUUUACCAAUAAUAUAUAUUUUCAUUUAAUAUGACUCAUUGUUUUUGUUAAUUUUUCCCAUUACUAAAAGAUAUUCACAUUUAAAAAAAAAAAGUCUUAGGAUAAUGGGGACGGGUGCAGUCACUUUUAUAGGUAAUUUAAUAUAUACCUGUAAGCAACGAUAAACCAUUGCUAACGAAAAACGAUUAUGAGCGGAG
Cinara cedri is the source of this 399-nucleotide non-coding RNA. NCBI's taxonomy places the organism in Eukaryota, Metazoa, Arthropoda, Insecta, Hemiptera, Aphididae. The record is from the annotation of a GenBank genome assembly.